Molecule: RNA transcript, 1634 nt
Organism: Brassica napus (rape)
Lineage: Eukaryota; Viridiplantae; Streptophyta; Magnoliopsida; Brassicales; Brassicaceae
Gene name: variant surface antigen E-like
Exons: 5
Source: RefSeq, a predicted model, not a curated record
CACACAUUACACAUUUAUAUUUAAAAAACAAAUUAAGCAUCAUCCCUUUCUUCUUAACCUAAUCUCACUCCUCACGGAACUAAAUCGAUGUUUGCGAUCGGUAUAUCACUAAAAGGUCACGCAGGUGGUCGUGGCACGAGUCACGGUGGGAGUACCGGUAGUGGUCGCGUUAGGAGUCAAGCUGGUGGCGUUAAUAGCUCUUCCGGAAGAAGUUACUCUGCCUCGAACCCAAGCUUUUCUAAUUCAAGAGAUUUUGUGUCUCUCCCUGUACAAUACGCACAUACUCAAACUUCUGUCCCAGAGAAUUCCCCGACGCCGGAGCCUCAGCGUCAUCCACCGCACUUCCCUGCUUCCUCGCCGACUAGUGAUGAUUCUUAUUUUCCAACGGAACACAACCCUCAUCAAACGCUGAAUCAAAACCCAAGUUCUCAACCGCCUCAAAAUCCAGUGACUCUGGAUGAUUUGCUUGCAAUUCCUAGACGUGAGAACUAUCUUCCAGUCUUAUCACCGGUUCCAAAAGACGAGUACUACUUGGUUUGAUCGUGAUGGUGGGAAACUGGCUCGAAAGAUAUGAAAGCUCUUAAAAUCCAAAUUUAACUCUCCUUAUUACUGCUGGUCAGAAACUCCCCUUAAAUUUGAACGUCAAUAUUUUGAAGACUUCGCGCAAGGACAUCAUUUGGAUAGCUCGAUCACUACACUUGUACGAGAUGAGGUUGAUAUCAUCUGUUUAAAUCGGAUGAAAGGAAUGGUGUGCCAAGAAAAAGAAGAAAGGCAUACGACCACUUUGGAUUGGAGAUACAUUAUGGAAAAAUAUGUGUUCCUACUGGGCCACUGAUGCAGCCAAUAAAAAGAAUAAAACUACAUCAAAAUGUCGGAACUCUGACCGUAGUGGACUUGGACCUUUCAAGCACUUUGCAGGAAAAAUGUCUUUCUUAUGGGUUCAACAAAAUAUGGAUGAAGAAUUGGGAAGACCUGUGAGUAUUGGAGAAGUGUUUAUAAAGACACAUACAAAAGCUGACGGUACAUUUAGUGAUUUAAAAGCUCAGCAAAUAGCCCAAGCUUAUGAAAAAAACUAGACAAUAAGUUGUCCCAGGCAGAACAACGCUUUUGUGAGAAUGAUCGUGAGAGUUCUUAUAUUCCCGAGCUUGCCCAAAUGAAAUGAACUAGAUAUUUCUUGGGACUACUACUUUAGAUAUGAGAGGAUGUGAGUGUGGAUUUGGUAGCCUUCUUCAACUUUAUGGAAACAAAAAGAGAAAAGGAGGUCCAUGAAGUUCAACUUCAAAAUUCUCAACGUCUAAUUGAAGAGCAAGCAACUGCUAAUGCUCGAUGUGAUGCUGAAACCGCACCAGCUAAUGCUAUAUGUGAUGCUGAAACCACAGCUAGAGCUGCUGAGCAACAAAUCCAAAUAAAUAUUUUGAAGAUAGUGGUCACCUAUAUGCAAGGUAAAGAACCAACAUUCUCAGAUUUUAUGACCGCAUCACCUCUAUCCGCAGCAAUUACUUAAAUGCCAUAAGUAGUUCAUAACUUAUAGUUGUUUUUUCUAUAAAAGGAAAAUCUAAAUAUUUUGUAUUUUGUAUUGUAAGCUUUAAGGAAUUCAAUAGAUGUUCCAAAAUUAAUAUCUGACUUGGAUUUUA